AAACUUAGGUUAUAAAAACCAAGGGCCUUCAAAGCCCUAAAAAGGGUUUCCACCACCCUAGUUUCUG
This 67-nucleotide transfer RNA is filed under the name Gekko bannaense. Its description in RNAcentral is "tRNA-Trp". The record is from RNAcentral. Lineage: Eukaryota; Metazoa; Chordata; Lepidosauria; Squamata; Gekkonidae.